This 504-nucleotide ribosomal RNA is filed under the name uncultured bacterium. Its description in RNAcentral is "partial 16S ribosomal RNA". It matches the Rfam family "Bacterial small subunit ribosomal RNA", at positions 28 to 523 of the family's 1533-position model. The record is from RNAcentral.
GAUGAACGCUGGCGGCGUGCCUAAUACAUGCAAGUCGAACGGCAGCAUGGAGAGCUUGCUCUCUGAUGGCGAGUGGCGAACGGGUGAGUAAUGCAUCGGAACGUACCGUGUAAUGGGGGAUAACGUAGCGAAAGUUACGCUAAUACCGCAUACGACCUGAGGGUGAAAGCAGGGGAUCGCAAGACCUUGCGUUAUACGAGCGGCCGAUGUCAGAUUAGCUAGUUGGUGAGGUAAAGGCUCACCAAGGCGACGAUCUGUAGCGGGUCUGAGAGGAUGAUCGGCCACACGGGGACUGAGACACGGCCCAGACUCCUACGGGAGGCAGCAGUAGGGAAUUUUGGACAAUGGGGGCAACCCUGAUCCAGCCAUGCCGCGUGAGUGAAGAAGGCCUUCGGGUUGUAAAGCUCUUUCGGCCGGGAAGAAAUCGCACGGGCUAAUACUCUGUGUGGAUGACGGUACCGGCAUAAGAAGCACCGGCUAACUACGUGCCAGCCGCCGCGGUAA